RNAcentral lists this ribosomal RNA (253 nucleotides) under uncultured bacterium. Its description in RNAcentral is "partial 16S ribosomal RNA". It matches the Rfam family "Bacterial small subunit ribosomal RNA", at positions 524 to 776 of the family's 1533-position model. The record is from RNAcentral.
UACGUAGGGUGCGAGCGUUAAUCGGAAUUACUGGGCGUAAAGCGUGCGCAGGCGGCUUUGCAAGACAGAUGUGAAAUCCCCGGGCUCAACCUGGGAACUGCAUUUGUGACUGCAAGGCUUGAGUGCGGCAGAGGGGGAUGGAAUUCCGCGUGUAGCAGUGAAAUGCGUAGAUAUGUGGAGGAACAUCGAUGGCGAAGGCAGCCUCCUGGGAUAACACUGACGCUCAUGCACGAAAGCGUGGGGAGCAAACAGG